UGGGAUGCAGAAAGUUGAAGAUGAUAUCAAUGAUAUCAUUUAAUGAUAUUAAUUAUCUUUAUGGUCACUUACCAUGGAUAAUCAAAAGGUGGUGGAUAUGCUGUUUUGGCAGAGUAGAGCUUCAAGGGAGAUAUUGUAGAGUAUGGAAUGAUAACAGAUUAUAGAAACAAAAUAUUUUCAUGCACUGUUUCAUGAACAAUUGAUGUUAAAAGCUGUGACUAUAUGGAGACAAUCUUCAGUAUAGCUUUGUGAUUUUUACCAGCUAUGCUCAUCAGUUAAGCAAUAUGACUAAGAGGGAAGAUUGGUCCAGAAGUGGAAUUUACCAGAUGUGUUGUGAUGGUUAAUUUUGUGUCAACUUAACUGGCCUGAGGGAUGCCCAGAUAGCUGGUAAAACAUUCUUUCUGCAUGUCUGUGAGAAUUUCCAGGAGAGAUUAGUGGAUUGGAGGCAGGAGAGGCACGUAUGGGUUUGGAGAGUGUUAAAUUAUUUUUUUAAGAUGAGAAAGCUUAAAUAUUUGAAAUGAUGAAAAGGAAUCAGAAACAAAUAAGAUUAUAGAGUGAGAUUAUUUGACUGAGUAGAAUGACCAAAGAGAUCUCCUCUCACUAGUGUGGGCAGGUAUUGUCUAGUCCACUGCGGGUCUGAAUGGAACAGAAAGAUGGAGAAAGAACAAAUUGUCUCCCUCUUACCCUUUUCUCUCUUCAUGAGCUGGAACAUCCAUCUUUUUCUGCUGUCAGACCAUGGAGAUCCUGGUUCUCGGGCCUUUGGACAUGGAGGGAAUUAUACCACUGGCUUUCUUGGUCUUCCAGCUUGAGAUGGCAGACUUUGGGACUUCUUGGCCUCUCGAAUGGAAUAACAGGUGGACAGAGUGAGAUGAGAAUACCAGCAUGAAGCAGUUGAAGAAAUAUGUCCUGGAGAAUGUUGGAUGAGAAGGAAGAGAAAAUAGCAGAUGAGACAGAAGACUAUGAAGGAACUGGAGGAACAGAUGUUAUUAAAGAACAGAUUUGGUGAGAGUAACUACAUGAGGACAAUCAAAACAGGUAAUUGUCAUCUGAGAAGGCAUAUUGAAAGUAAAAGGAUAGAGGACUAGGAAGAUGGCGG
Herpailurus yagouaroundi (jaguarundi) is the source of this 1096-nucleotide long non-coding RNA. RefSeq lists it as uncharacterized. Lineage: Eukaryota; Metazoa; Chordata; Mammalia; Carnivora; Felidae. The record is from RefSeq and is a predicted model, not a curated record. The transcript is spliced from 3 exons.